This 444-nucleotide ribosomal RNA is filed under the name uncultured bacterium. Its description in RNAcentral is "partial 16S ribosomal RNA". It matches the Rfam family "Bacterial small subunit ribosomal RNA", at positions 338 to 795 of the family's 1533-position model. The record is from RNAcentral.
CCUACGGGUGGCAGCAGUGGGGAAUAUUGGGCAAUGGAGGAAACUCUGACCCAGCAAUGCCGCGUGAAUGAAGAAGGUCUUCGGAUUGUAAAGUUCUUUAGUCAGGGAAGAAGUCAAUGACGGUACCUGAAGAAUAAGCUCCGGCUAACUACGUGCCAGCAGCCGCGGUAAUACGUAGGGAGCAAGCGUUGUUCGGAAUGAAUGGGCGGAAAGGGUGCGUAGGCGGUUGUACAAGUUAGAAGUGAAAUACCCAGGGCUUAACUCGGGUGCUGCUUCUAAAACUGUAUGACUUGAGUGCAGUAGAGGUGAGUGGAAUUCCUGGGGUAGCGGUGGAAUGCGUAGAUAUUAGGAGGAACACCAGAGGCGAAGGCGGCUAACUGGACUGAAACUGACGCUGAGGCACGAAAGUGUGGGGAGCAAACAGGAUUAGAUACCCUAGUAGUC